GCCUGGGUGGCUUAGUUGGUUGAGCGUCUGACUUCGGCUUGGGUCAUGAUCUCUCAUAGCUCGUGGGUUCGAACCCCGCGUCGGGCU
Molecule: transfer RNA, 87 nt
Filed under: Felis catus (domestic cat)
Lineage: Eukaryota; Metazoa; Chordata; Mammalia; Carnivora; Felidae
Rfam family: tRNA
About the family: Transfer RNA (tRNA) molecules are approximately 80 nucleotides in length. Their secondary structure includes four short double-helical elements and three loops (D, anti-codon, and T loops).
Source: Rfam by way of RNAcentral